UGGUACUCAACCAUUAUCUUACGGUAUUUAACAAAAUGUCAAUACACUCCAGCUGCAAAAUUGGUUCAGUGGUCCACGUGGACGUAUCAACAAUCCAUGUUUCCCAAAAUCGAGUAUUUUUGACGCAACUCCAUCAAGCUAACGUCAGCGUGACGUGCUAACAUACAAGUUAGCCGCUGGAGAGAACCAGAGGGGCUUCGUUAAGGGGCUGCUCAGCCCACUUGCAGCUGUGCUCCGGCCUCUGGAGACAGCUACCCGGCCCAGCUCGAUGUGCGAGUCGGAGCAUCUGAGGACACAACUUGGCCCAGGCAAAAUCCAAGUCGGACAUGGAUGCAACACAGCUGAAUAAAUGCCUGUAAGCGGAGACGCUUGAAUCUGGACCCGGUGACAGACUUGGACGAGACCCAAGCCACAGGACAAAUGAUGAGCAUAAACCUAACACCCACACACUUUACUACCAGCCACUGUGUGAAUCGGCAGCUAGCCACAGCGCCUCCACAAUAUCAUCAUGCGUUUGAGACGGAGCACAAAUGUCGCUAUCCACACGCAAGUUAAACCGAGUGCCCCAAAAGCCUUUCGAUUUAGCGUUCAAAUGGGUCAAAAUUGAGACUUCAAACCAUCAGCAUUUGUUUUGAAUAAGUGUUUUAUUUUUUCUGUAGCUUUUUUCUUUUUUUUACGAUCCCAUCGCAGAUAAGAUAAUUUGUUGCAUUUUUUUCUCAAGUGAAACAGAUUUGAGAGAAGCACGUGACUCCUUACUGCUCAGCACAAAAUGUGUGAUAAAACUGAUUGCGUUGUUUUAAUUAUCCUGACAAUACUUAUGAAAUGCUGUAAAACUGCUCUCUGCAGCGCGUUUCCCUCGGGUGUCUCAGCCAGUAGGCUAUUUUUAAACUGCUCUCUAAAAAUACAUUUUUUUGUAACUUUAUUCUUAGUUUAGGGGGCCCGGUAGUCCAGUGGUUAGCACGUCGGCUUCACAGUGCAGAUGUACCGGGUUCGAUUCCAGCUCCGGCCUCCCUGUGUGGAGUUUGCAUGUUCUCCCCGGGCCUGUGUGGGUUUUCUCCGGGUGCUCCGGUUUCCUCCCACAUUACAAA
Molecule: long non-coding RNA, 1088 nt
Organism: Hippocampus zosterae (dwarf seahorse)
Lineage: Eukaryota; Metazoa; Chordata; Actinopteri; Syngnathiformes; Syngnathidae
Exons: 3
Source: RefSeq, a predicted model, not a curated record